This 345-nucleotide unclassified non-coding RNA is filed under the name Hevea brasiliensis (rubber tree). The record is from RNAcentral. Lineage: Eukaryota; Viridiplantae; Streptophyta; Magnoliopsida; Malpighiales; Euphorbiaceae.
GUUUUAUCAAGGUAAACAGCAACAGCCGUGCUCACAAAUGUCUGGAUACAAUCAGCAAUCAUUAGUUUACAUCUAUCAGAACAAACCACAUCUACCCAUCUAGGCACUUCUGAUGAAUUCGACUUCAUUAAUGAGACCUCAGAUUGAUAAUUCGCAUUCAACCCCUCAUCCGACCCACUGUUCAGAUUGAAACCCAAAACCAAGUUCCUAGCAAAACUACCAACAACAACAGAAACAAACCCAGUCCCAACAGUACUCAUCAUUCUAUCCAUAACCUUAUCAACGAUACUUGAACUACCCACCUCCUCAAUCUCCCCCUUACUUUCACCCCCACGUCCCCUUAAA